Molecule: unclassified non-coding RNA, 315 nt
Organism: Bos indicus x Bos taurus (hybrid cattle)
Lineage: Eukaryota; Metazoa; Chordata; Mammalia; Artiodactyla; Bovidae
Gene: 7SK
Rfam family: 7SK RNA
About the family: 7SK was discovered as an abundant small nuclear RNA in the mid-70s but a possible function has only recently been suggested.
Source: Ensembl
GGAUGUGAGGGUGAUCUGGUUGUGACAUCUAUCACCCCAUUGAUUGCCAGGGUUGAUUCAGCUUAUCUGGCUGGCUAGGUGGGUGACUCCUUCCUUCCUCACUGCUCCAUGCACAUCUCUCCCGAAGCUGUGCACUUGGUCAAAAAGGACAACUAUCCCCAAUAGAGGAGGACUGAUUUCAGUCAAAGGUAUACCAGAAGCUGUGCCCCGCUGCUAGAACAUCCGAACAAAAGUCUACAAACAAUAAAUGCUGGAGAGGGUGAGGAGAAAAGGGAACACUGUUGGGAAUAUAUUGAAUAAAUCUGUACAACCAUU